CAACGGCCGCGGUAUCAUGACCGUGCAAAGGUAGCGUAAUCACUUGUCUUUUAAAUAAAGACCUGUAUGAAAGGCAAAACGAAAGUUCAACUGUCUCUCUAAUCCAAUCAAUGAAAUUUAUCUUUUCGUGCAGAAGCGAAAAUAAGUAUAUAAGACGAGAAGACCCUAUGGAGCUUUAAACACACUACUAACUAUCCUACAAUAUUCUAACCAAUAGGCAAAACUAUAGACCACAUAGCCAUAGUAUAAGUUUUAGGUUGGGGCGACCACGAAGAAAAAAAAAUCCUUCGAGAUAAACAAUUUAGAACAACACUUCAAAAAUUAAAACAUUUAUUAUAAAUGAUCCACUAAGUGACCAACGAACCAAGUUACCCUAGGGAUAACAGCGCAAUCCUUUCUAAGAGUCCAUAUCGACGAAUGGGUUUACGACCUCGAUGUUGGAUCAGGACACCCAAAUGGUGCAGAAGCUAUUAAAGGUUCGUUUGUUCAACGAUUAAAGUCCUAC
Molecule: ribosomal RNA, 505 nt
Filed under: Echinotriton chinhaiensis (Chinhai spiny newt)
Lineage: Eukaryota; Metazoa; Chordata; Amphibia; Caudata; Salamandridae
Description: partial 16S ribosomal RNA
Rfam family: Bacterial large subunit ribosomal RNA
Source: RNAcentral